RNAcentral lists this ribosomal RNA (525 nucleotides) under uncultured freshwater bacterium. RNAcentral's name for it is "bacterial SSU rRNA". It matches the Rfam family "Bacterial small subunit ribosomal RNA", at positions 8 to 527 of the family's 1533-position model. The record is from RNAcentral.
AGAGUUUGAUCCUGGCUCAGAUUGAACGCUGGCGGCAUGCCUUACACAUGCAAGUCGAACGGCAGCACGGGUGCUUGCACCUGGUGGCGAGUGGCGAACGGGUGUUUUAUAUAUCGGAACGUACCUUAUCGUGGGGGAUAACGCAGCGAAAGCUGCGCUAAUACCGCAUACGCCCUGAGGGGGAAAGCGGGGGACCGUAAGGCCUCGCGCGAUUAGAGCGGCCGAUAUCUGAUUAGCUUGUUGGUGGGGUAAAAGCCCACCAAGGCGACGAUCAGUAGCUGGUCUGAGAGGACGAUCAGCCACACUGGGACUGAGACACGGCCCAGACUCCUACGGGAGGCAGCAGUGGGGAAUUUUGGACAAUGGGGGCAACCCUGAUCCAGCAAUGCCGCGUGAGUGAAGAAGGCCUUCGGGUUGUAAAGCUCUUUUGUCAGGGAAGAAACAGCAGCUCUAACACAGUCUGCGAAUGACGGUACCUGAAGAAUAAGCACCGGCUAACUACGUGCCAGCAGCCGCGGUAAUACG